Long non-coding RNA from Lemur catta (Ring-tailed lemur), 4994 nucleotides. RefSeq lists it as uncharacterized. Lineage: Eukaryota; Metazoa; Chordata; Mammalia; Primates; Lemuridae. The transcript has 3 exons. The record is from RefSeq and is a predicted model, not a curated record.
UCAGCCUGUGCUCCCUCCCGGGGAGGACAGUGCUGCGCUCGCGGUGCUGCUGGGGGAGAGGCCGUGGCCUCCUUCCUGCACCCGUGGGCAACGUGGCCGCGGGGAGGGCCUGGUGAGCUGCUGCCCGGCCGUGCAGGACGCUCUGCCAGCCACAGCCCCACCGCGCCCUGUCCCGUGGGCCUGCAGGGCCGCAGAGCCCACCCCCACCAGGACAAAGGCCUUGUUUUGCAUGUGGGGAAACUGAGGCCCAGAACGGCCCGGUGGCUUUCCUGGAGGCAGUUUUGCCGGGCCUCACUCUGCCUGCUCGUCUCGAGGGCACGGGCUCCUCCAGGGGCGGCUGCCGUGUUUCGGGCUAACUGUGCCUCACGGCCGUCCUCCCUCCCGACGCAGGCACCGCGGGGCCGGCCGGGCGAGCCGGGAAGGAGGCACCACGGGGGCACGGCGGGACUCCUGCCGGCAGCGUGUUUUCUGCUCUAAAUACGGACUGCGGGAGACAGUUAUUUUUAGGAGGCGAAUGGUAAUGAUUAGAGCUCAGGCUGAGCAGCCAUUUAGUCAUCAGAGCCCAGUCCACAUGCAGCAGAAAACAGUCUUUUCCCGGCUGACGACAGCGCGGGACCCGCGGUAAUUGCGCCUCUUCCCACGGACGCGAUUCGCCUCCACCCAGGUGCCCCGAGCACAGCGCGAGCGGCUGAGACCGUCAGGCCUGCGUGAAGGGGGCGGCUGAAGCGCCCACGGCGCGGCCCCCACCAUCGCUGCCCCUCAUGUCCGCGGCGUGGCAGCCCCAGCAAGAGCCCUCGGCGGGCACCGCUGACCACGGGGCGCAGUUCUGCGGACGUCCACGGCGGCUGCCGCCCGGGGCCCUUGUGAUCAUGAUUGUCAAACGUCAAGGCCCAGCCACCGAGGACCGCACGGCGUGUAGUGGGUCCGCGAGGAGAGAGCUGGGAGGAGGGGGGUGAUGAGAAGUCAGUUCCGUCGGGGGAGGCCCCUGGCGCGGCUCUGGGCCCCCGGGAGCAGCUGCCGUGGGGACAGGCCCAGAGGGACCAGAGGGGAAGCCGCGGGCGCGUGUCCUUCCCAGCGUCUCUCCGUGCGCGUUCCCCGUGCGUCCAGUUCUCCCUUGGGUCCAGCUCCCACGCGGCCGCGCGGACGGCACGUUUGCUCGUCAACAGAGGCAGGGUUCUCGCGCAUCUGUGGUUCCCCAAGGGGACAGCGGGCAGUUCAGGGGAGAAUUACACCGUCUUACACCCCGGAGGGGUGGAAUUGCCGCGUCACCGUGGGGCGCUCAGAGCUGGGGUCACACGGUGGACAACAGAGAAGAGUCACCCAGAGUCGGGGGCCCCAUAAACGCCAUGAGUGCACAAGCCCAUGUCCUGCUCCUGACCUGCUCGGGGUGCGCAGGCUCUGGCUGCUGGCGACAGCUGCAGGUCGGCUGUGCGGAUGUGGGGACGUGGGGGCCGCCGGAGGGGCUGCCUGGCACCAGAUCCUGUGCCCCCGAGGCUGAGGGUAGGUGUCCUGGAGCCCCCUGGGCCUGGCAGGGGUCGGUGACAGUGCAGACAGUCGAGUCCUGCCCCCCCUUGGGGGCCGCAGGUUACUCCAAACGUCCCCAGGGGCUCGUCUUUGUCACUAGCACAGCCCAGCCGGGGGGCAGUCAUGGUCCACGCUACAGACAUGUGAGAUCACGGCAUUUACACACUAAUUCCUGGUCCGCAACAUUGUGGGUCCAGUAAAGAUGGCAAAACGGGAAAGCGAAGAGGACAGACGCCAAGUUGAGCCCCGCGUGGACCGGCUGUGUGUUUAGUGCCGCAUGACGGUGACCAGGGCGUGGCAUGGUGGUGGCUGCCUUCUGGGGCCUCAGCGAGUGUCUGAUUGGCCGUCUCCCUUUGGGGUGAGAGGUCACCCAGGCUGGACGCUCGCAGGAGGCUGGUGGGGCACCUCACCGCUGUGUGGGGGUCAGGGACCUCGGGCCCAGCGUCCCCGCCUUAGGGGGACGAGGUGAUCCGUGCAAGCCCUGCCCAGCGGGCCGGGCAAUGCGCCCUCACUGCCAGGCGGGACCCUCAGGACAGGCUUCUGAUUUGCUGCCGUUGCCGCCAAGGCCCAUUUCACCCCCACCUGCUCCGUCUCCAGGCCACGGUCACUGGGCUGGGACGGAUGUCAGUUGGACGAGGACCCUGCAAUCUGCACAGGGACGUUGCCCACACAGGGAGCAGGGACGCUCGGUCCCCACGGAGAGGCCAGCACAGCUCUGCACCGGCACUGUGGGUCCUGGACGCCCUUGCGCACGGAGAAGCCACGUGCUUGGAGGUGGAGGCCCCCCGCCCAGCCACUGCCCCUGGCCACAGGGUCCCCAGGAUGCCAGAUGGCUCCUGGCGCACAGUGAGGUGGGUCUAACCUUCCGGGCACCCAAACACUGAACGAGCAGAACUUCACCGGCAGUUACUCUCCCCAACGCACUGGCGAAUUCGAUCAGGAAAUGGUUUGGUGCAUCAGGUGCCGGGCUCGGCUGUGGGUCUGGGGACACAGAGCUGAGGUGUCUGCUCCUCUUCCCGUGACUUGCGGUCAGAGGUGACAGGAUUCAGGGGUUUGAAGACGCGGAAGAUGAGACCAGGUCUGAGUGUGGUGGUCACUGAGCACUUUCCCUGUUGCGAGGGCUCAAGUCCAAGGGCCUCUUCUUCGCUGUGUCACAAAAUCUCGGUGCCACCCCCAGAGUCUGCACGUCCCUCUCGAACCUGCCCGGGGGUGCGCUGUGUGCACGUCCAGACGUGGUCUCCCCUCGUCUGGGCGCUGGUGUGGUCUCCAAGAGGGAAGCUUGCAGCGGAGCCAGCACCGGGAGCAGAGCUGCCAGCCACCAGCGCGCCCGGCCGCCGCGACCAGGCUACCCCCUUGUCCAGCUUCCAGGUCCCUGUCACCUCCACCUCCCAGAAACACAGAGUGAGAAAACUGUGACUUAAAUGCCUCAGUCAGUGUCCCGCCCAAAACAGUUUCUGCCAAAUACCCACAAGACCAACACCCCGGCUGUACAAGGCCAGUGUUAAAUCGCUUCGCUUCCCACAGGCAGCUCCACACUGGGGAAGUCGGCCGCAGUCUGGGCUCCUCCACGGGCCUCCGGAGCCUGAGCCUCGCGCGCCGGGCCUUGCGAAGCUUGCGUGGGGCGUGGGGCCAGGUCGGGGCCCAGACUGCAAACAGGGUGAGCAUCCGCCUCACAGGACGCUGUGGAAACCAGCAGGGACAGACGGGAGACUGGCUCAGCCACCAGCACCUCCCUCUUCCCGGGGAAAUAAUGCUCCCCCGGUCGACCAAAGUAGUGUCCGCUGUCCCUUCCUUGAGUGCAGUACACGUGCCCACGUCCAGGGAAUUCAGCCUGAGCAGAGGGAAGAGCAGCUCUGCCCACGCCUGCCCUGUGCCAGCCCUGCACCUGCCCUGUGCCCACGCCCUGCACCUGCCGCAUGCUCACCCCUGCAGGGCUGUUUGUGGGGCUUCGGCCUCAGACAGGCUGCCUCCUCUGUCAUGAAGCUUCUGUUGAGAUGCUGACCACUACCUGUGAUGAAGGAUCAUUGAACACUGAAGAUGAAGGCCCAAUGGUGGUGGAGCAUUGGUGAUGACAACUACUGGUGAUGAAGGACCAUUGGUGAUGAAGGACCAUUGGUGAUGAUGGACCAUUGGUAGUGGUGAGGGACCAUUGGUGAGGAUGGACCAUUGGUGGUGAUGAAAGACCAUUGGUGAGGAUGGAGCAUUGGUGGUGAUGAAGGACCAUUGGUGAGGAUGGACCAUUAGUGGUGAUGAAAGACCAUUGGUGAUCAUGGACCAUUGGUGAUCAUGGACCAUUGGUGGUGGUGAGGGACCAUUGAUGAGGAUGGACCAUUGGUGGUGAUGAAAGACCAUUGGUGAGGAUGGAGCAUUGGUGGUGAUGAAGGACCAUUGGUGAGGAUGGACCAUUGGUGGUGAUGAAAGACCAUUGGUGAGGAUGGACCAUUGGUGGUGAUGAAAGACCAUUGGUGAUGAAGGACCAUUUGUGAGGAUGGACCAUUGGUCGUGAUGAAGGACCAUUGGUGAGGAUGGAGCAUUGGUGAGGAUGGACCAUUGGUGAUGGAGGAUCAUUGGUGAGGAUGGAGCAUUGGUGGUGAUGAAGGACCAUUGGUGAGGAUGGACCAUUAGUGAUGAUGGACCAUUGGUGAGGAUGGACCAUUGGUGAUGAAGGACCAUUGGUGAUGAAGGACCAUUGGUGGUGAGGAUGGACCAUUGGUGAGGAUGGACCAUUGGUGAUGAAAGACCAUUGGUGGUGAUGAAGGACCAUUGGUGGUGAUGGACCAUUGGUGAGGAUGGACCAUUGGUCGUGAUGAAGGACCACUGGUGAUGAAGGACCAUUGGUGAGGAUGGACCAUUAGUAAGGAUGGACCAUUGGUGAGGAUGGACCAUUGGUGAUGAGGAACCACUGGUGAUGAUGGACUGUUGGUGAGAAUGCACCAUUGGUGAUGAAGGACCAUUGGUGAGAAUGGACCAUUAGUGAUGAUGGACUAUUGGUGAUGAAGAAGCAUCGAAUAUUUUGAUCUUUUGUGCAUUUAUAUAAUUUUUUAAAAGUAAGACAAAAAUGAUUUAUUAGAGAAAUAAAAUACAAAUGCACAAAAAUAUAACCCCUAAAUUUCUGUAGUAUAUUCAAUAGACAUAAAAUUAUGUUUCAAAUAAUUAAAUCGGAACAAAAGGAAAAUCCGAACUAAAUUACAUAGACUCUACAUAUAUUUCAUAGAAAGAGUGUGUAUUAGUGAUUUUUACAGAGAAUUGUUCUAUCACUACUGUGGACAGAGCUUUGUCCCUCCCAAAUUCAUAUAUUCAAACCCUCAUCCCCAAUGUGAUAGUGUUUGGAGACGGGACCUUUGAGACGUGAUUAGGUCAUGAAGAGGUCAUGAGGGUGGGGCCCUGCAGUAGGAUUAGUGCCCUGUAAGAGGAGGAAGGGAGGAGGCCAGAGCUCUCUGGCCCACAAUGUGAGGACACAGUGAGAGGCA